RNAcentral lists this ribosomal RNA (1041 nucleotides) under uncultured archaeon. RNAcentral's name for it is "bacterial SSU rRNA". It matches the Rfam family "Archaeal small subunit ribosomal RNA", at positions 6 to 1054 of the family's 1478-position model. The record is from RNAcentral.
GGUUGAUCCCGCCGGAGGUCCCUGCUAUCGGGGUUCGAUUAAGCCAUGCGAGUCGAGAGGGUUCAGACCCUCGGCGGACUGCUCAGUAACACGUGGAUAAUCUGCCCUAUGGUGGAGGAUAACCCCGGGAAACUGGGGAUAAUACUCCAUAAGUCAGGAGUACUGGAAUGUCUCCUAACUGAAAGUUGCGGCGCCAUAGGAUGAAUCUGCGGCCGAUUAGGUAGUUGUUGGGGUAACGGCCCAACAAGCCCGUAAUCGGUACGGGUUGUGGGAGCAAGAGCCCGGAGAUGGAAUCUGAGACACGAUUCCAGGCCCUACGGGGCGCAGCAGGCGCGAAAACUUUACAAUGCAGGAAACUGUGAUAAGGGAACCCCGAGUGCCCGUACACGCGGGCUGUCCCGGUGUUUAAAACACAUCGGAAGAAAGGGCCGGGCAAGACCGGUGCCAGCCGCCGCGGUAAUACCGGCGGCUCGAGUGGUGACCACUUUUAUUGGGCUUAAAGCGUUCGUAGCUUGAUUUUUAAGUCUCUUGGGAAAUCUCACGGCUUAACUGUGAGGCGUCUAAGAGAUACUGGGAAUCUAGGGACCGGGAGAGGUAAGAGGUACUUCAGGGGUAGAAGUGAAAUUCUGUAAUCCUUGAGGGACCACCGAUGGCGAAGGCAUCUUACCAGAACGGCUUCGACAGUGAGGAACGAAAGCUGGGGGAGCGAACGGGAUUAGAUACCCCGGUAGUCCCAGCCGUAAACUAUGCGCGUUAGGUGUGCCUGUAACUACGAGUUACCGGGGUGCCGAAGUGAAAACGUGAAACGUGCCGCCUGGGAAGUACGGUCGCAAGGCUGAAACUUAAAGGAAUUGGCGGGGGAGCACCACAACGGGUGGAGCCUGCGGUUUAAUUGGACUCAACGCCGGGCAGCUCACCGGAUAGGACAGCGGAAUGAUAGCCGGGCUGAAGACCUUGCUUGACCAGCUGAGAGGAGGUGCAUGGCCGUCGUCAGUUCGUACUGUGAAGCAUCCUGUUUAGUCAGGCAACGAGCGAGACCCU